GGCUUUCUCAGUAUGACCAUUUGUCCA
Molecule: non-coding RNA, 27 nt
Filed under: Mus musculus (house mouse)
Lineage: Eukaryota; Metazoa; Chordata; Mammalia; Rodentia; Muridae
Source: RNAcentral